UUAGGACCAGGAUGAACAUGGAGGA
This 25-nucleotide microRNA is filed under the name Equus caballus (horse). RNAcentral's name for it is "eca-miR-9075". The record is from miRBase by way of RNAcentral. Lineage: Eukaryota; Metazoa; Chordata; Mammalia; Perissodactyla; Equidae.